This 1402-nucleotide ribosomal RNA is filed under the name uncultured bacterium. Its description in RNAcentral is "bacterial SSU rRNA". It matches the Rfam family "Bacterial small subunit ribosomal RNA". The record is from RNAcentral.
AGAGUUUGAUCCUGGCUCAGGAUGAACGCUAGCGACAGGCUUAACACAUGCAAGUCGAGGGGCAGCGGUGGUGAAGGCUUGCCUUUACCAGCCGGCGACCGGCGCACGGGUGAGUAACACGUAUGCAACCUGCCUACCACAGCCGGAUAAUCGGGAGAAAUCCCGUCUAAUACGGCAUAAUGCACCUAUGGGACAUCCUGUUGGUGCCAAAGGUUAAUUCCGGUGGCGGAUGGGCAUGCGGCGCAUUAGGAAGACGGCGGUGUGACGGACCACCGUUCCGACGAUGCGUAGGGGUUCUGAGAGGAAGGCCCCCCACACUGGUACUGAGACACGGACCAGACUCCUACGGGAGGCAACAGUGAGGAAUAUUGGUCAAUGGCCGGAAGGCUGAACCAGCCAAGCCGCGUGAGGGAGGAAGGCGCAGAGCGUCGCAGACCUCUUUUGCCGGGGGACAAAAGGCCGGACUCGUCCGGUCCUGAGGGUACCCGGAGAAAAAGCAUCGGCUAACUCCGUGCCAGCAGCCGCGGUAAUACGGAGGAUGCGAGCGUUAUCCGGAUUCAUUGGGUUUAAAGGGUGCGCAGGCGGGCCUUUAAGCCGGCGGUGAAAUCGCGGGGCUCAACCCCGCCGAGCCGUCGGAACUGGGGGCCUUGAGUGCGGCGGAGGCAUGCGGAAUGCGCGGUGUAGCGGUGAAAUGCAUAGAUAUCGCGCAGAACCCCGAUUGCGAAGGCAGCGUGCCGUGCCGCCACUGACGCUGAGGCACGAAAGCGCGGGGAUCGAACAGGAUUAGAUACCCUGGUAGUCCGCGCCGUAAACGAUGGAUGCUGGGUGUCCGGGGCGUUCAGGCCCUGGGUGCCGGAGCGAAAGCGGUAAGCAUCCCACCUGGGGAGUACGCCGGCAACGGUGAAACUCAAAGGAAUUGACGGGGGCCCGCACAAGCGGAGGAACAUGUGGUUUAAUUCGAUGAUACGCGAGGAACCUUACCCGGGCUCAAACGGGGGGCGCGGGCGGCAGAGACGCCGCCGUCCUUAUGGACGUCCCCCGAGGUGCUGCAUGGUUGUCGUCAGCUCGUGCCGUGAGGUGUCGGAUUAAGUUCCAUAACGAGCGCAACCCCCGCGCGCAGUUGCUAACGGGUCAGGCCGAGGACUCUGCGCGGACUGCCGGCGCAAGCCGCGAGGAAGGCGGGGACGACGUCAAAUCAGCACGGCCCUUACGUCCGGGGCGACACACGUGUUACAAUGGGGGGUACAGCGGGAAGCCAGGCGGCGACGCCGAGCGGAACCCGAAAGCCCCUCCCAGUUCGGAUCGGAGCCUGCAACCCGGCUCCGUGAAGCUGGAUUCGCUAGUAAUCGCGCAUCAGCCAUGGCGCGGUGAAUAAGUUCCCGGGCCUUGCACUCACCGCCCG